AACGAACGCUGGCGGCAUGCCUAACACAUGCAAGUCGAACGAACCCUUCGGGGUUAGUGGCGCACGGGUGCGUAACGCGUGGGAAUCUGCCCUUUGCUUCGGAAUAACUCAGGGAAACUUGUGCUAAUACCGGAUGAUGUCUUCGGACCAAAGAUUUAUCGGCAAGGGAUGAGCCCGCGUAGGAUUAGGUAGUUGGUGGGGUAAAGGCCUACCAAGCCGACGAUCCUUAGCUGGUCUGAGAGGAUGAUCAGCCACACUGGGACUGAGACACGGCCCAGACUCCUACGGGAGGCAGCGGUAGGGAGUAUUGGACAAUGAGCGCAAGCCUGAUCCAGCAAUGCCGCGUGAGUGAUGAAGGCCCUCGGGUCGUAAAGCUCUUUUACCAGGGAUGAUAAUGACAGUACCUGGAGAAUAAGCUCCGGCUAACUCCGUG
RNAcentral lists this ribosomal RNA (433 nucleotides) under uncultured bacterium. Its description in RNAcentral is "partial 16S ribosomal RNA". It matches the Rfam family "Bacterial small subunit ribosomal RNA", at positions 29 to 507 of the family's 1533-position model. The record is from RNAcentral.